AAAACAGUCGGUGAGUGUGCUGUGUUCUGUUUCACGAGUACUGUCUGAUCCCAUAGAGUACCACGUGACUGAUAAGAAAGACACAGAAAAUGUGCGUCUGUGAAAACCCAGGGUGUCUGACAACAGCUUAUAUCUGGUCUCACCAUCAUCGACAAAAAAGAGAAAUUCUGAGAAGAACUGUGGCAAUGUCUCCAAGACGCUUGAAGAACCAAUAUGUGUUCAAGUUCAGCGCAGUCUCAGACGACAUGUCAAAUCCCGCAAGCUGCCGAAAGGUAUGAGUCAUAACAGAAAGGACUGCACAUCAGUCGGUCACACUUGAUGACUCAUUUCGGAGGAGAUUAAUUGACAUUGCGGUCGCAGCACUGCAACGCGGUGCCAACAUCUCUAUAUUGGCUUGCUAAAUUGCAAGACAAGCCCCAACAGAGGUGCAAAGACGUAAACUCAGGCACAUACUCAGAGGGCAGCCAACACUGCAGUUCAAGCCAAAUGCUUAGAUUACGUCAAUAGCAGCUUCUAAUGCAGAGCCUCGGGGAGAGACCUAACCGCCAUUCACAACACAGACACCACACAGAUACUAACAACGGCUCAGGUUACCUGCAGGAGAGGUAACGUUUCCCCCAGAGAACACUGUGCACCUCUGCAUACUGAGGACAUAGACUUUUAUCCACACUUUCUCUUUCUCUCUCAUACAUACACACAGAGGUUUUGAGAAUACUAAACACAACAACACACACAAUUGGAGAAAUAUGACAACAAGUAUACAAUUAAAAAAGAAUUGCACUUUGUAUAGCACCCAUAUUCGCACAAACAAGAGAGAUGUUCAUUAGACUCCAUUAUGAACAAUUAACACUUGUUAACCUCUGAAUUCCCUUUAAAUACGGUGUGGACGUUUUAAACCUGCCUAUAAAAAGCUGUUGUUUAAGGAAGCAUCUUCAGACAUUCAGACAAAAGAAUGUUGAUAUUUCACAGCUGUACAUUUCUGAGCUGAUGUAAAUGUGGGUGUAUAUGCACAUAUCUAUGUGUGUGUGUGUGUGUGUGUGUGUGGGUGGUUUCAAACCAGAGCCAAACCAAUAGUUUUUCUUUUGGCUGGUAUUUCUUGAUCAUCUUGCACUGAAAGCAAAGCAGCCGAACGAAAACAGAUUUGUGUUUACUGCAGACUAAUGGGUGUGAAAACCAAGCGUGUAAGGAAAUGAAAUUUAGAACAGAUUUAUCCCUGAAUCAUAAUCAAACUCAUCCAAAAUGUUUUCAGUGGUAUUAAUUGUUGUUGGAAUAAAGGGACAGUUCAACCAAAAAUCUGUCAUUAUUAAUUACACUCAUGUCGUUUAAAACCUGUAUAUGACUCUUUAUUUCUGUGAAACACAAAAGAAGAUAUUUUGAGAAAUGUCUCGGAGGGUUUGCGUCCAUAUAAUGGUAGUCAAUGGGGGCCUAAGUCGUUAGGUUGCCAUGUUCUUUUACCAUCAUCUUUUGUGUUCUGCAGACGAAAGUCAGUCAUACAGGUUUGAAAUAACAUGAGGAUCAGUGAAUGAUGUAAGAAUUUUUAUUUUGGGGUAAAAUAUCCAUUUAACAACUUAGAUUUGCCUUCUUAACGGCAAACAAUCUCUGUGUGAAAUCCCGCCUCUGCGUAUGCGUGCACGUCUAUUAAACACACCAUCUAUAAUUGAUGAGUUAGCACACGAGAAACCACAGGAAUUAGUGCUGAUGCUGAAACAAAACAUGAAAACAUCUCACCACACAGGCACGUGGUAUUUCUAUAUAAAGGUGUAUAAACCCGCUGUAGCGUUUAUAGAUCGUGCACUCAAUCGCGAAUGAAUAAAAAUGAUCAAAGCUUCUUUAUAGCAAAAUUGUUUUUUAGGGGCCCUUGAGAAUGCAUAAGUGCAUAAAUUACCAUCCCGUUACAACUGAGCAUGCGUUCAUACUAUCAUCUUCCUCCAUGUGAUCUGCUCUUGUACUAACUGUCCAUGUGCAUUUUAUUAAAAGGAUGAAAUCCAGUCCGUCCAGACUCCCUAGUGAUAUUUCUAUAGGUGAGCUGCUUCAGCGUGCUCUCUGGUUAAUUUCAAAGGCGGGCUCCGGCAGAGAAUAAUAAACAGGUUGCGCGUGAUGACUCAUCAGUUUCGAAGAGGUGAGGAUGUCGUGUUGAAGCACUUAUCACUCCACAAACUCAAAGCCAUUACCUUUCCACCCACGCAACGGCACCCACGAUCAGAACAAUAGAUAGUCUUUCUCAUGCUUUCACACAGUUACAUCCUUCUGUCAUAAACAUGUUUCGCACUCCAUCACUCUCACUCGCUUCUUUUCUUUGCGUUUAAAGGAAUAGUA
This is a long non-coding RNA of Triplophysa rosa, 2316 nucleotides long. RefSeq lists it as uncharacterized. The record is from RefSeq and is a predicted model, not a curated record. The transcript has 3 exons. Lineage: Eukaryota; Metazoa; Chordata; Actinopteri; Cypriniformes; Nemacheilidae.